RNAcentral lists this transfer RNA (77 nucleotides) under Salmonella enterica subsp. enterica serovar Dublin. Its description in RNAcentral is "tRNA-Arg". It matches the Rfam family "tRNA". From Rfam's summary of the family: Transfer RNA (tRNA) molecules are approximately 80 nucleotides in length. Lineage: Bacteria; Pseudomonadati; Pseudomonadota; Gammaproteobacteria; Enterobacterales; Enterobacteriaceae. The record is from RNAcentral.
GCGCCCUUAGCUCAGGGGGAUAGAGCAACGGCCUUCGAAGCCGUGGGUCGCAGGUUCGAAUCCUGCAGGGCGCGCUA